ACCCGCUGAACUUAAGCAUAUCAAUAAGCGGAGGAAAAGAAACCAACAGGGAUUGCCUUAGUAACUGCGAGUGAAGCGGCAAAAGCUCAAAUUUGAAAUCUGACGUCUUUGAUGUCCGAGUUGUAAUUUGGAGGGAUAUCUUCGGGGUUGGCGUCGUCCUAAGUUUUCUUCGAACAGGACAUCAUAGAGGGUGAGAAUCCCGUGCCUAGACGGCUGUCCAACUCCAUGUGAAGUGUCUCCGACGAGUCGAGUUGUUUGGGAAUGCAGCUCAAAAUGGGUGGUAAAUUUCAUCUAAAGCUAAAUAUUGGCGAGAGACCGAUAGCGCACAAGUAGAGUGAUCGAAAGAUGAAAAGCACUUUGAAAAGAGAGUUAAAAAGUACGUGAAAUUGUUGAAAGGGAAGCGCUUGCGACCAGACUUGAUCUUUGGUGAUCAGCCGGACUUCGGUUUGGUGCCCUUGCCAUCGAUUGGGCCAGCAUCGGUUCUGACGGCGGGAUAAAAGGAGGAGGAAUGUGGCUCCCUUUGGGGAGUGUUAUAGCCACCUGCACAAUGCCGCCAGUUGGGACCGAGGACCGCGCUUCGGCUAGGAUGCUGGCGUAAUGGUCUUAAGCGACCCGUCUUGAAACACGG
This 628-nucleotide ribosomal RNA is filed under the name uncultured fungus. RNAcentral describes it as "LSU rRNA". It matches the Rfam family "Eukaryotic large subunit ribosomal RNA", at positions 23 to 664 of the family's 3401-position model. Lineage: Eukaryota; Fungi. The record is from RNAcentral.